AAGAAGGAGAAGAAGAAACAGCAAUCACCCUUGGGGCUGGGUGAACAAAAGUCAGAGACCAAGAUUUUUUUUGACUUAGGGGCUUGGAGCAGGGCCCUGCAGGGUGAGGACUCAGCACUCUGGGCUAGGAAGGUCCCCCUUGGCUGGCCCCGAUGCCUCAUGCUGAGAAGGGGAUGCCAGCCAGUAGGUGCUGGUGUCUCUGAGUGGAAGGAGGUGGUGAGGCUGAUUCUGGAAAUACUGGAAAAACUGGAAGCAACUGCAGCUGCCAGGAUGAGGUGUUUUGAUCACGGUCACUCUUAGGAACAGGAAGCCAACAGCUCCCUUCCUCUAGUACCCCUCCUGGCAGAGCCAAACAGAGAGAGCCAGCUGCCAAAAGGAGCCUGGGCUGCAGGGUCCCAGUCCCAGCAUCCCAAAGGAUAAAAAAUAAUCAGCACAGGAUUUUAAAAGGCUGUUUGACUACAGGUCAGGGAAGGGAGCAACCAUGGACAGCUGACUUGGUAACAUGGGCGAUUACCGGGACUAUUUUGUAGAGCAUGCUGGAAGGAGGCAGAAAGAAACAUGUUCAUAUGCUGCAGGGAAGAUGACCCCGUUGGUUACUUUUUAAGAUUGCAUACAAUUUUAUGGGCUUUGCAGAGAACUGUGCAAACUCCUGUGUCUGUCCCCUACCCUGAUAAUGACUGCUAUCUUGUAAGAGAAAGAACUCGGCAGAUGUUUGAUUAUGCCUCCCCCACCAUUUGUGGCCCACAUGACUUUCACAUGAACUGAUUUGUAAACUAUAAAGCAGGAUGCAAAUGA
Long non-coding RNA from Macaca mulatta (Rhesus monkey), 795 nucleotides. RefSeq lists it as uncharacterized. NCBI's taxonomy places the organism in Eukaryota, Metazoa, Chordata, Mammalia, Primates, Cercopithecidae. The record is from RefSeq and is a predicted model, not a curated record.